GAGUAAGUGCCUGAGAGGUCAAUAGGGGUGGAUUGUAAAUCCAUUAAUAUAUAUAUUUUCAUUGGUUCAAACCCAAUCUUACUCA
This 85-nucleotide transfer RNA is filed under the name Nephromyces sp. ex Molgula occidentalis. Its description in RNAcentral is "tRNA-Tyr". It matches the Rfam family "tRNA". From Rfam's summary of the family: Transfer RNA (tRNA) molecules are approximately 80 nucleotides in length. Their secondary structure includes four short double-helical elements and three loops (D, anti-codon, and T loops). Lineage: Eukaryota; Apicomplexa; Aconoidasida; Nephromycida. The record is from RNAcentral.